RNAcentral lists this ribosomal RNA (492 nucleotides) under uncultured bacterium. Its description in RNAcentral is "partial 16S ribosomal RNA". It matches the Rfam family "Bacterial small subunit ribosomal RNA", at positions 29 to 507 of the family's 1533-position model. The record is from RNAcentral.
AAUGAACGCUGGCGGCGUGCCUAACACAUGCAAGUCGAACGACAGCACAGUAAGCUCGUGCUCUUACGGUUGGCGGGUGGCGGACGGGUAACACGUGCAUCACAAUCUACUUUUUCUUGGAUGACUACGUAAAACAACUUACACUACUACCUCAUACUUCCUACGGGUGAGUGCAGUGGAUCUUCGGAGCUUUCGCGAUUGUAUUAGCCGGUGUCGGAUUAGCUAGUUGGCUUGGUAAAGUCCCACCAAGGCGACGAUGCGUAGCUGUGCUGAGAGGAUGAUCAGCCACACUGGAACUGAGACACGGUCCAGACUCCUACGGGAGGCAGCAGUGGGGAAUAUUGGACAAUGGGCGAAAGCCUGACGGAGCAACGCCGCGUGGGUGAAGAAGGCCUUCGGGUCGUAAAGCUCUUUUAUUGGGAAAGAACAGAAGUAGAUGAAACUAUGGACGUCCUGACGGUACCUAAAGAAUAAGCAACGGCUAACUACGUG